Hypomesus transpacificus is the source of this 370-nucleotide long non-coding RNA. RefSeq lists it as uncharacterized. Lineage: Eukaryota; Metazoa; Chordata; Actinopteri; Osmeriformes; Osmeridae. The transcript has 3 exons. The record is from RefSeq and is a predicted model, not a curated record.
UCUGCAGCAGUCCAUUGAAGGGCUUCAUAUGAGUGUGCAUGCUAGAAAACAAAGCCUCUACCGUCAGAAUGACAGCAACAAGCUUCGUCAUCGCUUAUGCUCUAGGUUGGCAGAGGAUAAAAGGCGGCUUUUUGAGCAGGUCUCAAAAUACAAUGGCACGGUACCUGAAGAUGUCAACAUCAAUGUGGCUGUGUUAGAGGGGUCGCUGGCUGGAUCGAGUGCAGAGUCACUGCUAUGGCCAUGGGAGGUGCUUUGCAAUGAAUCACUAGUGUCCAUUGCAACAAAAAAGAGGAUGCAUGAUCAACAUAUGCUGACCACACGCCUGCAAGAGGAGAGGACGAUCCUGGUCUGGGAGAUGGCCCAACACUGC